UACGGAGGGGGCAAGCGUUGUUCGGAAUUACUGGGCGUAAAGGGCGCGCAGGCGGCUGCUCAAGUCAGGCGUGAAAGGCCUGGGCUCAACCCGGGAAUUGCGCUUGAGACUGGGCUGGCUUGAGUGCGGGAGAGGAUGGUGGAAUUCCCGGUGUAGCAGUGAAAUGCGUAGAUAUCGGGAGGAACAUCUGUGGCGAAGGCGGCCACCUGGACCAGCACUGACACUGAGGCACGAAAGCGUGGGGAGCGAACAGG
This 254-nucleotide ribosomal RNA is filed under the name uncultured bacterium. RNAcentral's name for it is "partial 16S ribosomal RNA". It matches the Rfam family "Bacterial small subunit ribosomal RNA", at positions 524 to 776 of the family's 1533-position model. The record is from RNAcentral.